Molecule: small nuclear RNA, 182 nt
Organism: Echinops telfairi (small Madagascar hedgehog)
Lineage: Eukaryota; Metazoa; Chordata; Mammalia; Afrosoricida; Tenrecidae
Product: U2 spliceosomal RNA
Exons: 1
Source: RefSeq, a predicted model, not a curated record
AUCACUUCUCGGCCUUUUGGCUAGGAUCAAGUGUAGUAAAAUAUGCAUAAUAUAAUUUCAUCUAAAAUGCAGUAUGAAACUAUAAUUAUUUUUUUAUAAAGAUAGUAUUGUAUUAUAAAAGUGAAUUUUCUUCCGUGAUACUCUACCUCACAACAAAAUCUUUGUUGUUUGGUGUAGAAUAU